Long non-coding RNA from Peromyscus leucopus (white-footed mouse), 261 nucleotides. RefSeq lists it as uncharacterized. The transcript has 2 exons. The record is from RefSeq and is a predicted model, not a curated record. Lineage: Eukaryota; Metazoa; Chordata; Mammalia; Rodentia; Cricetidae.
GCAAAGGCGCGCCCUAGGUAAAAGUCAAGGGAGGCGCUAAGCGGCUCCCGGCCGGCCGCCGCGCUGAGCUUAGAGCUGAGCUCGAAUUUGCUGAGUUUUCCUCACACAGCCCUGUGUCCGAGGUAUUGCGGAGUAUUGGCGAUGGGAAUGCCUCUUUCUUGAGAAUGAAGACAGUGGGAAGCAGAGAAGUCCUGAACACAUACUCUCACUGCGUUUUGUGUGAGGAUCUUAAAGCAGAGCUCUCCAGCCUUAAUUGAAGAG